AUUGAACGCUGGCGGCAGGCCUAACACAUGCAAGUCGAGCGGAUGAAGGGAGCUUGCUCCUGGAUUCAGCGGCGGACGGGUGAGUAAUGCCUAGGAAUCUGCCUGGUAGUGGGGGAUAACGUCCGGAAACGGGCGCUAAUACCGCAUACGUCCUGAGGGAGAAAGUGGGGGAUCUUCGGACCUCACGCCAUCAGAUGAGCCUAGGUCGGAUUAGCUAGUUGGUGGGGUAAAGGCCUACCAAGGCGACGAUCCGUAACUGGUCUGAGAGGAUGAUCAGUCACACUGGAACUGAGACACGGUCCAGACUCCUACGGGAGGCAGCAGUGGGGAAUAUUGGACAAUGGGCGAAAGCCUGAUCCAGCCAUGCCGCGUGUGUGAAGAGGGUCUUCGGAUUGUAAAGCACUUUAAGUUGGGAGGAAGGGCAGUAAGUUAAUACCUUGCUGUUUUGACGUUACCAACAGAAUAAGCACCGGCUAACUUCGUG
Molecule: ribosomal RNA, 484 nt
Filed under: uncultured bacterium
Lineage: Bacteria
Description: partial 16S ribosomal RNA
Rfam family: Bacterial small subunit ribosomal RNA
Source: RNAcentral